CAUGGGCCUUCUCAGCUUCCUGUCUGCAGCCAAAGAACGUGCCGAGAGGUUCCUCAACGAAAAGAAUGUCGUCACUGACUUCCUGGGGAAGGUCGAGGAGAAGACGGGAGUCAAGAAGAAGAUCCUUGCGGCCGGUGUGGUUUCAGUGACGGGCUUAUAUUUGGUCUACGGUUACGGCGCUGCCCUCCUCUGCAACUUGAUCGGUUUCGUCUACCCGGCGUACUACUCAGUCAAAGCCAUCGAGAGUCCGAGCAAAGAAGACGACACAAAAUGGCUGACCUACUGGGUGGUCUACGGAGUCUUCAGUCUGGGCGAGUUCUUCUCUGACAUUUUCCUCUACUGGUUCCCCUUCUACUACGCCUUUAAGUGUUUGUUCCUGUUGUGGUGCAUGGCCCCCGUGGCCUGGAACGGAUCCCAGGUCCUCUACGACCGUGUAGUCCGACCCAUUUUCCUCCGUCACGAAGCCGCCGUGGACAACAUGGUCAGCGACAUCAGUGGGAAGGCCAUGAGCGCAGCAGAGAACCUCACCAGGGAAGGUAUCAUGCGGGUCCACUCCCACCUAAAGCGUAAACCUGUCAGUCCAUUCAGGUCUAGACCGACCGGGUCAUUCCAGACCAGCCCAAACCAUUUCAACUUCAAGCUAGUACAGAUGAAUUCUGGCUCCGUAGAUCAGCCAAGGAAAAUUCACAAAAGCCCAUGAAACUUGAUGCCAGUAAAGACCACGGUGUCCCGGCAGUGCGCUUUUACAUCAUUUGGGGUAAGUCUGGAUCGGCACAGAGCAGUCAAAGUGAGAGUGCGCAGGUCUCGAUCUGUAAAGACCAGUCGAGGCAAAUGCGCCGGAUGAAUAAAGUUGCCUUGUAUCAUAUUGUCUAAUUUCCAUGUGUUGUUUCCGCUGCAACUCACUUGCCAUCUUUGCGGGACAACUUUUCAGGACAGCGACUUCAUUUAGCCUUCUCACUCACAGAUUACACUGGAUUCAUAUUCCCUGUUUUUUUGAAGGAUUCUAGAGAAACUCCUCCAUCUUGAGGAUCUGUAGUCAAGGUGAUCGGUUUAGGUAGGCAAUCAGUUUUUUGCCAGCCAGGAGCACCCUCAGCCUUUUCUUGACAAUCAUUUGGAAAAUGUUUGUAUGGUUAGGGUUGCUACAGCCCAGGUCCAUUUUGUCCGAAACAAACCGGCACGCAUCAUCUCCACAUCAGACGGUCCUGUCCGUGCGUGCGCCAGUCGGGACCUGCACAGACUGCGUUGUUGCCAUCUGGUUCUCAAUUAAGCGAUGCUCACACAUCUAGACCUGCGUGGACUGCUGCUUUGCUCUGUACACUUCAGACCCGACUGGGCAAAUCCAUUACAGGCGUGUCUAGACCAGUUUAGGGCAGUCCAGAUCAGUCCACAUUGGCUCCACGACCUGCUGUGCUCUGUUCACAGUUUUGUCCACCCUGGUGAAAAACAAAGCCUUGGUGUCGCCCGAAGUGAAAAGUCAGCCUCCGGCGAAAGUUCUGUGAGAAAAAACCACACGUCUCCUCUGAGUGAAGACCAAGAGCUCGUUUCCUGAGCGCCAAGAGGAGGCGGGGCCUGGUCCGGAGGAGAAGGAGCGCCACGCUGGACUUUUUUUUCUUUCUGCUGUUGUCUUUCUUGCUCCUAGCAAAUCAAUCAAUCUUGAAAAUGUUCCUUAUCCCUGAAGUCAGUCAAAUGCACUUUGUUUGUAUUCAUAGAAGCUGAUGAAAUGGUGACCCAUUUUUUUCUUGACCCAGUUGUAGUUGUUUGAUUUUGGAGCAUUUUACCCCCAAAAAAAGGCCUCCAAACCAAGUUUUACCCACUUGGUUGAAUUCAUUGAACAAGGAAGCUCAUUGUGUACUGUAAAACUAGGUGGCCAUAUUACGUAGUUUAGUUAUUUAUUAUCUAUUUGUAUUAUUUAUUUCCUUUUCAAUCAUACAUAUUUUAUAUGAAGUAUUUAUUAGUAGUGUAGUGUAUUUUUAUUUAGGUCUCAUGCAAUGUAUAUUUCAUUUCUAAGCUUAGAGGUGACUAGGUCACGCGUGCAUGGGAUUUUAUGGGGCCUGGGCCAGGAAGGCAGACUUCCUGGCACCGGGAUACAGGAAUGGGCCAUUUGGUUAGAAUCAACAAGGCAGGCUGGGGGGUCAGAGAACAUCCAGCAGCCCUCGUGUGCGUGCGCCCGAGUAAGGGGGGUCGCGGGGUAUAUGACCCAAGGCAAGAGAAGACUUCUUUUUUUGGCUAGAGAGAGACACUUCAAUUCUGACAUCGGUUGAAUAAAAUCUUUCCCCAAUCA
Molecule: RNA transcript, 2281 nt
Organism: Syngnathus typhle (broad-nosed pipefish)
Lineage: Eukaryota; Metazoa; Chordata; Actinopteri; Syngnathiformes; Syngnathidae
Gene: reep6
Gene name: receptor accessory protein 6
Exons: 5
Source: RefSeq, a predicted model, not a curated record